RNAcentral lists this ribosomal RNA (417 nucleotides) under Triticum aestivum (bread wheat). RNAcentral describes it as "partial small subunit ribosomal RNA". Lineage: Eukaryota; Viridiplantae; Streptophyta; Magnoliopsida; Poales; Poaceae. The record is from RNAcentral.
AUGGACGCCGCCCCCCAAUCCAAGAAGCCCAGGACGACCUCCUACGCCGAGUUGCCGUGGAAGGUGAAGAAGUCGGUGGCCGCGGUCGCCUCAUCGGCCGACCAGUUCGGGACGCCGGAGAAGAUGAAGAAGACGAUGGCAGCCUGGGCGUUGGCCGUGGCGGAUCUGGUGACGCCGGAGAAGUCAGAGCCGCAGUCGCUGCAGCGGAGGAGGCGCAGCGGCGCCGCCGUGGCGCUGUCUGUCAAGGAGGCCCGGCGGCCGGCGCUCGAGCUGCAGCUGGCGGGCAGGGGCCCCGCGGCGGAGGUUGAUGCAUGGGUUGACGCGCUUGAGUCUGUUGAGAGGGAGCUCGACGUGGGCGCCGGCAUCGGGCGCAACCCCGUCAAGCGCAGGCCCGAGGUCAAGCAGCCGGAGAGGUAG